UACGGGAGGCAGCAGUGGGGAAUAUUGCACAAUGGGCGCAAGCCUGAUGCAGCCAUGCCGCGUGUAUGAAGAAGGCCUUCAGGUUGUAAAGUACUUUCAGUCGUGAGGAAGGUGUUAAGGUUAAUAACCUUAGCAAUUGACGUUAGCGACAGAAGAAGCACCGGCUAACUCCGUGCCAGCAGCCGCGGUAAUACGGAGGGUGCGAGCGUUAAUCGGAAUUACUGGGCGUAAAGGGCACGCAGGCGGUUAAUUAAGUUGGAUGUGAAAUCCCCGGGCUUAACCUGGGAAUGGCAUUCAAGACUGGUUAGCUAGAGUCUUGUAGAGGGGGUAGAAUUCCGAUGUGUAGCGGUGAAAUGCGUAGAGAUGUGGAGGAAUACCGGUGGCGAAGGCGGCCCCUGGACAAAGACUGACGCUCAUGUGCGAAAGCGUGGGGAGCAAACAGGAUUAGAUACC
This 453-nucleotide ribosomal RNA is filed under the name uncultured bacterium. RNAcentral describes it as "bacterial SSU rRNA". It matches the Rfam family "Bacterial small subunit ribosomal RNA", at positions 340 to 786 of the family's 1533-position model. The record is from RNAcentral.